RNAcentral lists this ribosomal RNA (305 nucleotides) under uncultured bacterium. RNAcentral's name for it is "bacterial SSU rRNA". It matches the Rfam family "Bacterial small subunit ribosomal RNA", at positions 333 to 654 of the family's 1533-position model. The record is from RNAcentral.
UAAUGCCUACGGGAGGCAGCAGUAGGGAAUAUUGCUCAAUGGGGGAAACCCUGAAGCAGCAACGCCGCGUGGAGGAUGACACUUUUCGGAGCGUAAACUCCUUUUGUUAGGGAAGAAUAAUGACGGUACCUAACGAAUAAGCACCGGCUAACUCCGUGCCAGCAGCCGCGGUAAUACGGAGGGUGCAAGCGUUACUCGGAAUCACUGGGCGUAAAGGACGCGUAGGCGGAUUAUCAAGUCUCUUGUGAAAUCCUAUGGCUUAACCAUAGAACUGCUUGGGAAACUGAUAAUCUAGAGUGAGGGAG